CUACUAUACUGUCCCCUAUAUAGGUAAGAUACUACUAUACUGUCCCCUAUAUAGGUAAGAUACUACUAUACUGUCCCCUAUAUAGGUAAGAUACUACUAUACUGUCCCCUAUAUAGGUAAGAUACUACUAUACUGUCCCCUAUAUAGGUAAGAUACUACUAUACUGUCCCCUAUAUAGGUAAGAUACUACUAUACUGUCCCCUAUAUAGGUAAGAUACUACUAUACUGUCCCCUAUAUAGGUAAGAUACUACUACACUGUCCCCUAUAUA
Long non-coding RNA from Salvelinus fontinalis (brook trout), 270 nucleotides. RefSeq lists it as uncharacterized. NCBI's taxonomy places the organism in Eukaryota, Metazoa, Chordata, Actinopteri, Salmoniformes, Salmonidae. The record is from RefSeq and is a predicted model, not a curated record. The transcript is spliced from 3 exons.